CACAGCGAGCGAACCCCUUUCUGGCAGCGAGAGCGGACAGAGGUAGCUGCAGAAAUAUCUCCCUCGUCACCCCCUUUCUCUUCCUCGUCUCUUCCCAUCCCGCUCCUCUCCUCCAUGCCGCCGCCGCUGCUUCCCCCCUCCCUCUCGGCCGCCUGUCUCCCCCGCCGGCUGGCGCAGCUCCUCGCGUCGCCUUCCUCUCCUCUUCAUGCGCGGCGGCGUCUCGUCAUCAACAGCCACCGCCCAUCCCCAGCCCCCACCCUAGCCUCCCCAAUCCCCUCCUCCCGCAUGAACCCUAGCAGAGAGAGAAGAUGAGAGGGAGAGAGAGAAGGAAGGAGAGGGGAGGAGGGAGAAAGAGAGAGGAAAGAGGGGAGGGAGGUGUGGCGGCCAGUGUCGGCCUGCGCCGGCGAGGUCGGGCGCGACCUGGCGGUUGGCGGCGGCUCGAUCCGUUCCUGGAUCUGCGAGGAGGCUGGGGCUCGGGCGCGAUGCACGGGAGGCUGCACCCCGCCUCCAUCUCCACGCGUGCAGCGGCGACCCCGGGAGGAGCUCGAGCCGCAACGGUGGUCCACGGCGCCGGCGUCGGCAGGAGGAGCGUGGGCCGUAGAGACGGCCGGCUCCGUCCGGCUUUCGCGCUGCCGUCCAUCCACCCGAGCGAUCAGUCCGCGCGUCCUCACCUCCGUCCUCUCACGCACGCCCUCGUGUCUGGAUAUUUGGUAAUUUCUUUUCUGAGCAUAAAUAGAUAUUGUGCCCCCACCUGUUUGUUGUUUUGCCCAGCUGAAAGGUGGAUCAAAUAUGAAAGACGUGAGCGUUCAAUAGUGUGAAAAGCAAGCCCUGGUCUUGUUGAAGUUCCAUUGAAUUUCUGUGAUACUAAUGCUCAUAUUUUGCAAUUUGCUCUCCACAGCUUUCAGUCACGGAUUCUUGAGGAAAACAUGAAAACAGGUAAUAUAUAUGAUUAGUGUUUGGGUGACCGUUGAUUCCUACACCGAGUUGUGUUGCUGUACAAAUAGCCUCUCUUUUUGGUGGUGACACGGUGUCCCUUCCAGGUUCAGCAGCAGGCAAUGCUCAAGACAGAGUUGGGUGCACAUCAUAUAUAUACAUAUGUUGUCGCAUCUUAAUAAACAGAGAUGAGCAGAAGCAGAGAUGAGAUAUCUAUCCGACUGUCAUCCUUCCCAGACUUGGGUCUGUCAUCUCUGUCAGCAUCCGCUUCCGCUUCCUUAGUUGGUUGUCGCUUCUUUGUAACACCAUUUGAAUAAAUAAUAAAUAAGCCUGAGUUUGGAUUAAUCUUGCGUAGCCCAUUGGAUUGAUUGGAUAUCAGAAGAUACGUGUAUACUUAGCCAAGACAUUAUAUGCUGACUGAGUUCCCUAAGCAGGGAUUUUCAGUCACACUUUCUAUAGCCACGUUCAUGAGUUGAUUCAGUAUAGCUCAUGAGUUGAUUCAGUAUUAUUAUUGCUUUGCAAUACAGUUGAUUCAGUACUAAUGUAUAUACUGUAUACGAAUGCACAUCCCAUAAUUGUUGUGGUAGACUGUCGUCUGCAGUCCAUUUAUAUGGUCUUUCUCCAGAAACUAUAGGUGUGUUCUCUAUACUAUUCCAGUGUACUAAAUCUGAACAUAUAUCCUUCAAAUAAUCUACUAUUUCAUUAGGCACAAAUUGGUACAGAUAAACCACACAUCUCUGCAGACAAACCUUUGUUUUCCAUAUAUCCCAUUAAGAAAAUAAAUGUCACUUCAGAUGUAGUGAAAAGAAGUUUAGUUGCCGCCUCAGCUCCUUACUGGCGACUGGUGUGAAUCAUCUCAGUUUUUUAAUGUCACUGUUUAUCUUAUUUAGUCUUGAGAAUUGUUGUGUGUGUUCUUCUCUAGGUUGUGCAAGCCAAGUGGUUGAUGCAUUGCUUCUUUGUACAGUUUUUGUGGAUGUUUUGGUCUGUCUAUACCAUAUUAAGCAAAUAUGAGUACUUUUAGCUGUAGUGGAAAACAAGAAUUUAACAGAGUUUUUGCCAAAUUGACAUUUCUCUGCUGAAAUUAUUCCUGAAUGUAAUGAUAGAAGUUUUUUCCCCCAUUUCUAUAUUGUCUCGAAUGUUUGGAAAAUUGUAUCACUGCAAUGCCUUCUUCGUAUAUGUGGAAUUGGAGAAAAAUGCAUACAUGUUAUUGAUGCCUUAGCAAGAAGGCUCGCCGGCUGGGAGAUGGCGAGCGCCAGUGAGCACUAUGCACGGUGUAGCAAGCUGGACAAGAGCGUGAGCGACAGUCAAGACAUGAGCUAUCCAGUGUAGGUUCAGACAAUUCAUUCAUUCAUUGCAGGUUCGGCAUGUCUCAUUAUGUCUUUUUGCUUCAUAUUCAGGGUCAAACUGGGCUAUAUUUCUUUCAUUGGGGCGAGGGUGAUUCCAGCAGGUGAGGUGCAUUUUAGACAUCCGGAUGAUGUCUUGCUAUGUCCAGGUGGUACCAUGUCUGAAUUAAGAUUUCCCUUGCAGAUUUUGCUUGGCGUACUCGCCUUUUUUCUUGAAGUUGGGCGUCGGUCGUCUCUGCGGCAAGGUAAGCUUAUCCCAUUUACUUUAUUCAACCCAGAGUCAAGAUUCAUAUCCCAUUCACUGUCAUUUCAUUUGUGAGCAUUUAUUCCAUUGAUCUAUGUCGUCGGCACCCUGACGAUUUAGCCUUUUCUGCUGAUCACAAUUGCUUGCAUCUGCCAUCUCAUUGAGGAAAUGCCCCUGCUCCUCUUAAUUAAAAUUAAUGUGAAAUAUGUUUCUACCAAAAUUAAUGUGAAGCACUAUUGAGACAACGAAUUUCAACUAUGUUAUGAGCCAAACCAUAUUAAGUAUGUGCAUCCUCGCUGGAAUGCUUUCUGUUCAUGAGCUGGUCUCCCAACACGUAUUGUCGAGAAAAGAAAAGAAAGGACCUUUUAAGUUCUUAAUAGGAGCAAGAGAGCUUCUAAGUACUAUCCAUACCUAUGCUUUAUGUAGUCAAUUAAUAAACUCUCUUUAAAUAUGAUGUUCCCAAGAGAUCAGAAGGUUCAUGGGGUGAUCUUGUAGCUGAGUUGAAAGUCAGAGGGUUUGUGCUAUGGGUGAUAAGGAAUGGUCAUAACCUUAUUUGUUAGAAUAUUGCCGAAGAUGAUCCAAGCUAAUUAUUUUAGGCACUUGAUCUGUUAUAUUGUCAUAAACUGAAUUUGUACUACGCGAACAUGUGGAUCUUUUAGCAGUUAGCCAUGUCAAAAACAGGAUAUAUGUCUAACAUCUAAUUUGAGAUGAAGUUGUCCUGCUCAAUUAAUUUAUAGUUUUCUGGAUGUUCUGGUGUUCAGCUUGGGAGCAAGUAGAAAUACCUGAUUUGAUGCUCAUGCUUCCAAAUUUUUCACAUUUCGCGAGAGCUAGGCGUACUUCUCGAUGACCUUGCCGUCUCCAACCCAUCCGUGGGUAUUUCAACUCCCCUUUUGUUUUUUUUCUGCGCACAUUUGCUCUACUGUCAUUUUGCCUGGUAUGCUCUCAUUUUCUUAGAUUUAGAUUUUCUUGUUCUAUCUCCUCCCAUUUUCUAUUUGUUUUCUUUUCUCUGUUUUUAAUUUGUUUUUUUACAUCCUAUUUUAUUUAUUCUUUUUGGCUACGACAUAAUGAAUGGAUUAUUGCUUUAUUUGGCCUUUAUUAUAUUGUUUCCCAUCUACUAUAUGGUUCACUUUGCUAGCUAUAAAAAAAGCAUUAUGGGUUACUGCCUGGUGGACCUCUGAAUAUUUUUUCACCUCAGCUUGAUUGACAAGCUCACCGGCAGCUUGAUUGACAAGCUCACCGGCAGGAAAUGUAGUAUGAGAUGAUUUUUUUUAAUUUCUCUAGCUUUUCUUAUUGGUAUGUACAGAAAGGACAAAGUCGUAUACUUAAUAUCGAGUCUUAUUCAUCUGCAUUUAUGGAAUACCAUUGAAAAUCUUGAAUUACUUUUGCUUUGAUGGGUAAUCUAUCACUAAACAGAAUAUAGCUUCCAGCCUUCACACAUAGAGACUAAUUUAGUACUUCGGUUUUGGGCUGUCCUAUUUUCUGUGUGGUCGAACAGGAAAGCUAAAUGUACAGUUUAUUUGCUCGGCACCAUUUAUUGUGCCACAUAGAAGUACAUCUUUUUCUUAUUUUUUCUAAUGCAAUCAUCAAUACAGUACCUUAGUUAACCUUCCC
Long non-coding RNA from Triticum dicoccoides, 4131 nucleotides. RefSeq lists it as uncharacterized. The record is from RefSeq and is a predicted model, not a curated record. The transcript has 3 exons. Lineage: Eukaryota; Viridiplantae; Streptophyta; Magnoliopsida; Poales; Poaceae.